RNAcentral lists this transfer RNA (96 nucleotides) under Colletotrichum orbiculare MAFF 240422. RNAcentral describes it as "tRNA-Ser for anticodon UGA". It matches the Rfam family "tRNA". From Rfam's summary of the family: Transfer RNA (tRNA) molecules are approximately 80 nucleotides in length. Their secondary structure includes four short double-helical elements and three loops (D, anti-codon, and T loops). Further hydrogen bonds mediate the characteristic L-shaped molecular structure. tRNAs have two regions of fundamental functional importance: the anti-codon, which is responsible for specific mRNA codon recognition, and the 3' end, to which the tRNAs corresponding amino acid is attached (by aminoacyl-tRNA synthetases). tRNAs cope with the degeneracy of the genetic code in two manners: having more than one tRNA (with a specific anti-codon) for a particular amino acid; and 'wobble' base-pairing, i.e. permitting non-standard base-pairing at the 3rd anti-codon position. Lineage: Eukaryota; Fungi; Ascomycota; Sordariomycetes; Glomerellales; Glomerellaceae. The record is from Rfam by way of RNAcentral.
GGCAGCAUGGUAGAGUGGUUAAUACGUAAGACUUGAAUGAAAUCAUUCAGCCAUCUUAUGCCUUCGGGCGCGCAGGUUCGAACCCUGCUGCUGUCG